AGGAUAAACGCUGGCGGCGUGCCUAACACAUGCAAGUCGAACGCGCUUUCGGGCUUCGGUGCGAGAGCGAGUGGCGGACGGGUGAGUAACACAUGGGUACCUACCUUGGAGUGAGGGAUACCGGCGAGAAAUCGCCGACAAUACCGCAUAGGCUUCUUCACAAGGGAAGCAAAGUGACGCGAGUCACGCUUUGAGAUGGGCCUGUGGCCGAUUAGCUAGUUGGGGGGUAACGGCUUCCCAAGGCGACGAUCGGUAGCUGGUCUGAGAGGACGAUCAGCCACACUGGGAUUGAGAACGGCCCAGACUCCUACGGGGGCAGCAGUGAGGAAUUUUCCGCAAUGGAGGCAACUCUGACGGAGCAACGCCGCGUGCAGGAGGAAGGUUUCGGAUCGUAAACUGCUUUUCGUCGGGACGAGCAAGGACGGUACCCGAGGAAGAAGCCCGGCUAACUACGCGCCAGCAGCCGC
This 467-nucleotide ribosomal RNA is filed under the name uncultured bacterium. Its description in RNAcentral is "SSU rRNA". It matches the Rfam family "Bacterial small subunit ribosomal RNA", at positions 26 to 518 of the family's 1533-position model. The record is from RNAcentral.